UAGCUAGUUGGUGAGGUAACGGCCCACCAAGGCGACGAUCGGUAGCCGGACUGAGAGGUUGAACGGCCACAUUGGGACUGAGACACGGCCCAGACUCCUACGGGAGGCAGCAGUGGGGAAUAUUGCACAAUGGGGGAAACCCUGAUGCAGCGACGCCGCGUGGAGGAAGAAGGUCUUCGGAUUGUAAACUCCUGUUGUUGAGGAAGAUAAUGACGGUACUCAACAAGGAAGUGACGGCUAACUACGUGCCAGCAGCCGCGGUAAAACGUAGGUCACAAGCGUUGUCCGGAAUUACUGGGUGUAAAGGGAGCGCAGGCGGGAAGACAAGUUGGAAGUGAAAUCUAUGGGCUCAACCCAUAAACUGCUUUCAAAACUGUUUUUCUUGAGUAGUGCAGAGGUAGGCGGAGUUCCCGGUGUAGCGGUGGAAUGCGUAGAUAUCGGGAGGAACACCAGUGGCGAAGGCGGCCUGCUGGGCACCAACUGACGCUGAGGCUCGAAAGUGUGGGUAGCAAACAGGAUUAGAUACCCUGGUAGUCCACACCGUAAACGAUGAUUACUAGGUGUUGGAGGAUUGACCCCUUCAGUGCCGCAGUUAACACAAUAAGUAAUCCGCCUGGGGAGUACGACCGCAAGGUUGAAACUCAAAGGAAUUGACGGGGGCCCGCACAAGCAGUGGAGUAUGUGGUUUAAUUCGACGCAACGCGAAGAACCUUACCAAGUCUUGACAUCCCUUGACGAACAUAGAAAUAUGUUUUCUCUUCGGAGCAAGGAGACAGGUGGUGCAUGGUUGUCGUCAGCUCGUGUCGUGAGAUGUUGGGUUAAGUCCCGCAACGAGCGCAACCCUUAUGGUCAGUUACUACGCAAGAGGACUCUGGCCAGACUGCCGUUGACAAAACGGAGGAAGGUGGGGAUGACGUCAAAUCAUCAUGCCCUUUAUGACUUGGGCUACACACGUACUACAAUGGCGUUAAACAAAGAGAAGCGAGACCGCGAGGUGGAGCAAAACUCAGAAACAACGUCCCAGUUCGGACUGCAGGCUGCAACUCGCCUGCACGAAGUCGGAAUUGCUAGUAAUCGUGGAUCAGCAUGCCACGGUGAAUACGUUCCCGGGCCUUGUACACACCGCCCGUCACACCAUGAGAGCCGGGGGGACCCGAAGUCGGUAGUCUAACCGCAAGGAGGACGCCGCCGAAGGUAAAACUGGUGAUUGGGGUGAAGUCGUAACAAGGUAA
This 1232-nucleotide ribosomal RNA is filed under the name metagenome. RNAcentral's name for it is "bacterial SSU rRNA". It matches the Rfam family "Bacterial small subunit ribosomal RNA", at positions 242 to 1499 of the family's 1533-position model. The record is from RNAcentral.